Molecule: ribosomal RNA, 251 nt
Filed under: uncultured prokaryote
Description: partial 16S ribosomal RNA
Rfam family: Bacterial small subunit ribosomal RNA
Source: RNAcentral
ACAGAGGCGGCAAGCGUUGUUCGGAAUUAUUGGGCGUAAAGAGCACGUAGGCGGCCUUGCAAGUCAGUUGUGAAAGCCUUCCGCUUAACGGAAGAACGGCAUCAGAUACUACAGGGCUUGAGUACGGGAGGGGAGGGUGGAACUUCUGAUGGAGCGGUGAAAUGCAUAGAUAUCAGAAGGAACAUCGGCGGCGAAAGCGACUCUCUGGCCCGUAACUGACGCUGAGGUGCGAAAGCUAGGGGAGCAAACGG